GACGAACGCUUGCGGCGUGCUUAACACAUGCAAGUCGAACGGAAAGGCCCUGCUUUUGUGGGGUGCUCGAGUGGCGAACGGGUGAGUAACACGUGAGUAACCUGCCCUUGACUUUGGGAUAACUUCAGGAAACUGGGGCUAAUACCGGAUAGGAGCUCCUGCUGCAUGGUGGGGGUUGGAAAGUUUCGGCGGUUGGGGAUGGACUCGCGGCUUAUCAGCUUGUUGGUGGGGUAGUGGCUUACCAAGGCUUUGACGGGUAGCCGGCCUGAGAGGGUGACCGGCCACAUUGGGACUGAGAUACGGCCCAGACUCCUACGGGAGGCAGCAGUGGGGAAUAUUGCACAAUGGGCGGAAGCCUGAUGCAGCAACGCCGCGUGCGGGAUGACGGCCUUCGGGUUGUAAACCGCUUUCGCCUGUGACGAAGCGUGAGUGACGGUAAUGGGUAAAGAAGCACCGGCUAACUACGUGCCAGCAGCCGCGGUGAUACGUAGGGUGCGAGCGUUGUCCGGAUUUAUUGGGCGUAAAGGGCUCGUAGGUGGUUGAUCGCGUCGGAAGUGUAAUCUUGGGGCUUAACCCUGAGCGUGCUUUCGAUACGGGUUGACUUGAGGAAGGUAGGGGAGAAUGGAAUUCCUGGUGGAGCGGUGGAAUGCGCAGAUAUCAGGAGGAACACCAGUGGCGAAGGCGGUUCUCUGGGCCUUUCCUGACGCUGAGGAGCGAAAGCGUGGGGAGCGAACAGGCUUAGAUACCCUGGUAGUCCACGCUGUAAACGGUGGGUACUAGGUGUGGGGUCCAUUCCACGGGUUCCGUGCCGUAGCUAACGCUUUAAGUACCCCGCCUGGGGAGUACGGCCGCAAGGCUAAAACUCAAAGGAAUUGACGGGGCCCCGCACAAGCGGCGGAGCAUGCGGAUUAAUUCGAUGCAACGCGUAGAACCUUACCUGGGUUUGACAUGGAUCGGGAGUGCUCAGAGAUGGGUGUGCCUCUUUUGGGGUCGGUUCACAGGUGGUGCAUGGCUGUCGUCAGCUCGUGUCGUGAGAUGUUGGGUUAAGUCCCGCAACGAGCGCAACCCUUGUUCACUGUUGCCAGCACGUUAUGGUGGGGACUCAGUGGAGACCGCCGGGGUUAACUCGGAGGAAGGUGGGGAUGACGUCAAGUCAUCAUGCCCCUUAUGUCCAGGGCUUCACGCAUGCUACAAUGGCUGGUACAGAGAGUGGCGAGCCUGUGAGGGUGAGCGAAUCUCGGAAAGCCGGUCUCAGUUCGGAUUGGGGUCUGCAACUCGACCUCAUGAAGUCGGAGUCGCUAGUAAUCGCAGAUCAGCAACGCUGCGGUGAAUACGUUCCCGGG
RNAcentral lists this ribosomal RNA (1343 nucleotides) under uncultured bacterium. RNAcentral describes it as "16S ribosomal RNA". It matches the Rfam family "Bacterial small subunit ribosomal RNA", at positions 28 to 1378 of the family's 1533-position model. The record is from RNAcentral.